Molecule: long non-coding RNA, 555 nt
Organism: Olea europaea var. sylvestris
Lineage: Eukaryota; Viridiplantae; Streptophyta; Magnoliopsida; Lamiales; Oleaceae
Exons: 4
Source: RefSeq, a predicted model, not a curated record
AAAAGACUAUUCUUGCUUGCGAAUCUGGGUCUGGGAAGCCCGUGGAAAGUCAAAUUCUUCUUUAUGUUUGCUGCAUCUGUGGAUAAAUGAUUCAUCAACUUCAUGACUUCCUCGAAACUUAUUCCUCGACCCCUUUAGUCAUGUCUUUACUUGAUCUGCAGCUGUGCAGCUCCCAUACGCUUAUGCAUCGGUUCUUAGAAAAUAACAGAACAAUGCUUUAGAAAAGCAAUCUCCUAAUAAAUAUGCCUCGACCUCUUCUAGGAGGCUAUCAAAAUUCAGAGCACAUGGAAAUCAACUAGAAUGCACAGAACUGAUGAAUCAAUGUGUGAGUAUGAAAUAGAGUGCUCGACUAUUACAUUCUCAUUGCCAAUCAUUUCUUGAUUUGAAGUCGCCUCUGGCUCGUACUUGGUAUCUCCUUCCAUGUCUACGCUGCUGUUUCGACUCAAUGUUGCUUAAGUAUUUGGAGUAAACACUGAUAGCGGAUGAUAGAUGGCCAAACCUGUGGGCACCGUGGCAAUCAAGUACCUGUCCAGGACUACUAGAAAUUUUGUUGAA